AGCGAACGCUGGCGGCAGGCCUAACACAUGCAAGUCGAACGAACUCUUCGGAGUUAGUGGCGGACGGGUGAGUAACACGUGGGAACGUGCCUUUAGGUUCGGAAUAACUCAGGGAAACUUGUGCUAAUACCGAAUGUGCCCUUCGGGGGAAAGAUUUAUCGCCUUUAAAGCGGCCCGCGUCUGAUUAGCUAGUUGGUUAGGUAAAGGCUCACCAAGGCGACGAUCAGUAGCUGGUCUGAGAGGAUGAUCAGCCACAUUGGGACUGAGACACGGCCCAAACUCCUACGGGAGGCAGCAGUGGGGAAUCUUGCGCAAUGGGCGAAAGCCUGACGCAGCCAUGCCGCGUGAAUGAUGAAGGUCUUAGGAUUGUAAAAUUCUUUCACCGGGGACGAUAAUGACGGUACCCGGAGAAGAAGCCCCGGCUAACUUCGUG
RNAcentral lists this ribosomal RNA (433 nucleotides) under uncultured bacterium. Its description in RNAcentral is "partial 16S ribosomal RNA". It matches the Rfam family "Bacterial small subunit ribosomal RNA", at positions 29 to 507 of the family's 1533-position model. The record is from RNAcentral.